This 464-nucleotide ribosomal RNA is filed under the name uncultured bacterium. RNAcentral describes it as "partial 16S ribosomal RNA". It matches the Rfam family "Bacterial small subunit ribosomal RNA", at positions 338 to 795 of the family's 1533-position model. The record is from RNAcentral.
CCUACGGGUGGCAGCAGUGGGGAAUCUUCCGCAAUGGGCGAAAGCCUGACGGAGCAACGCCGCGUGAUCGAAUGAAGGCCUUCGGGUUGUAAAGAUCUGUUGACAGGGACGAAUAAGCAAUGCGAAUAGUUUUGUGUAUGACGGUACCUGUUUAGAAAGCUCCGGCUAACUACGUGCCAGCAGCCGCGGUAAUACGUAGGGAGCAAGCGUUGUCCGGAAUUACUGGGCGUAAAGGGCGCGUAGGUGGGCGCUUAAGUCAGGUGUGAAAACUCCGGGCUCAACCUGGAGACUGCACUUGAAACUGGGUGUCUUGAGGGCAGGAGAGGAAAGUGGAAUUCCUAGUGUAGCGGUGAAAUGCGUAGAUAUUAGGAGGAACACCAGUGGCGAAGGCGACUUUCUGGUCUGCAACUGACGCUGAGGCUCGAAAGCAUGGGUAGCGAACAGGAUUAGAUACCCCUGUAGUC